RNAcentral lists this transfer RNA (20 nucleotides) under Aphanocalyx pectinatus. RNAcentral describes it as "partial tRNA-His". The record is from RNAcentral. Lineage: Eukaryota; Viridiplantae; Streptophyta; Magnoliopsida; Fabales; Fabaceae.
CCAAGUGGAUCAAGGCCGUG